This is a long non-coding RNA of Cynara cardunculus var. scolymus (artichoke), 1011 nucleotides long. RefSeq lists it as uncharacterized. The transcript has 2 exons. The record is from RefSeq and is a predicted model, not a curated record. Lineage: Eukaryota; Viridiplantae; Streptophyta; Magnoliopsida; Asterales; Asteraceae.
GCAACUCCCAUAAAAGCAAACAAUGACGUUUCCAGAGCUGGCGUGUGGGGGCUAAUUCCAAACCACCAUCCAUUCCUGCCUGUGUCUCUCUGCCAUAUCCAUCCAAUUUUGAAUUGGUCCAAGAUGCCAUUUCAGUUCCAUCAUAUUCUCCAAAUCCCUCUUUCAUAUCUCAAUUUCUAGGGUUUCUGAACGUCUCUGGCUUUUCAAUAAUGGUUAGUUUCACCAAUUCUGCUGCUGUUUUACCUGAUACGGGUUCAAAUUCCAGCAUCAUGAUCAAAUGUACUUCAGUCGCCUCUUCUUCUUCUUCUUCUUCCUUGACUUAUGUUGUUUCUCGGCUUCCUGUGAAUUUUAAGCCGGUUAGUGUUAGUGUUUUUAACGUGGAUGAUCUCAAGGAAGUCGUUGAAUCCAAUCAAAAAGACCGCUUACGAAAGGCAAUAGAAGCUCGGUUAAUCAGUGAAAGAGUUUGAAGGGUGGAAAGAUUCUUUAGAGACAGUCCAAACUAUCAAGAAGUAUGCAGAACGAAUCAGGGCGAGCGAAAUGGAGAAGUGUUUGGCAAGAAUGGGUAGCAAUAUAUCCAAGAAAAGCUAGAAAGCGAUACAUAACAUGAUCUUAGCAAAGGAGUAGUAAACAAGCUCCUUCUGGGUCCAGUGCAGUUGCAGCAUCUGAGAUGUGAUGAAAACGAAGGCUGAUCGAUCUUAGAACGAGAUACUCGAAAAUAUGCACCAGUUGAACCGGAUUUUCGCUCUGGAUACGGUGUUGGAAGAAAAGAUCCGAUCCAAGAUGGAGAAAUCCCAGGCAGGGAGGUGCAAGUGGAGACUUGUAACAAUUUGGGGCCCAAUUUAUAGACUAUAAACAAAUCCAACAAGGCUUCUUUCUAUUCGUUCGUUUAAGUUAACAGCAUAAAUAGAUAUAUACGAACGGUAAACAAACAGAUUUUUUUGCGUUCAUGUUUGUUUGUUAAGAAAAUGUGUUUGUUCGUUAAGAUGUUAAAUGAACGAAUUUGUUGAAAAC